This 400-nucleotide ribosomal RNA is filed under the name uncultured bacterium. Its description in RNAcentral is "bacterial SSU rRNA". It matches the Rfam family "Bacterial small subunit ribosomal RNA", at positions 356 to 773 of the family's 1533-position model. The record is from RNAcentral.
GGGGAAUAUUGCACAAUGGGCGAAAGCCUGAUGCAGCAACGCCGCGUGAGUGAUGAAGGUUUUCGGAUCGUAAAGCUCUGUCUUCUGGGAAGAUAAUGACGGUACCAGAGGAGGAAGCCACGGCUAACUACGUGCCAGCAGCCGCGGUAAUACGUAGGUGGCGAGCGUUGUCCGGAUUUACUGGGCGUAAAGGGUGCGUAGGCGGAUGUUUAAGUGAGAUGUGAAAUACCCGGGCUUAACCCGGGGGCUGCAUUUCAAACUGGACAUCUGGAGUGCAGGAGAGGAGAAUGGAAUUCCUAGUGUAGCGGUGAAAUGCGUAGAGAUUAGGAAGAACACCAGUGGCGAAGGCGAUUCUCUGGACUGUAACUGACGCUGAGGCACGAAAGCGUGGGUAGCAAAC